GUGGGUCUGACCAACACACACAGCUGUUAUAGAGGAGAGAGACAGCACUGGCCAGGUGCAAGUGGCUGGAGCAAGAUCUCCUGCAGACGAGAGACUUCAGCAAACAAGCCAGACUUCAGCAAACAACUGAAGACACCUGACGGCCAAAAACAAUGAAGAACGUGCUCCGAAGGAGGACGUAGAGGUGGUCCAGAGAGAGAGAGAGACAGGGCCCUGGAGCGCAGCCAACAGCUGGAGGAGGAAAUACAAACACUAUGCACGUGACACACACAUACACUUCCUCUUUAAGAUGUCUGUAUCUGCAUAGUGAAGGUUCUCCGAUAACAGGAAUAUAUGGUUUAGUGCUGCUUGAAACAUUGGUAUAAUUUCUGCUAGGGUUAUACAGCUCCAAAUAGUGGAUUUAAAGGCACAAUCGUGAAAUAUGAUAAGACUCAUAUUAGACUUAGAUGUGACUUAGAAUCUUAGUGGAAAGUCAUUUAUGAAAUCAAAUAAACCUGCUCACUCACUCGUGCAUUUUUCCAAUAGUACAUUGUUAUACCGUUGGUUUAGGGGACACAAUUUAGUUCAACAAAAAAGUAUCCCGUCAUCAUUAUUGUGAUAAUUGUAAAAUACUGAACCUAGUAAUAAAGUAUGUUGUUCCUGGGUACUUUCUGAUCCCAUUCUGCACAAAUACUACUAGCCACAGAGCGAGAACUACACAUUCAUA
This 706-nucleotide long non-coding RNA is filed under the name Salmo salar (Atlantic salmon). RNAcentral describes it as "lncRNA (ENSSSAG00000118541.1)". The record is from RNAcentral. Lineage: Eukaryota; Metazoa; Chordata; Actinopteri; Salmoniformes; Salmonidae.